Long non-coding RNA from Formica exsecta, 680 nucleotides. RefSeq lists it as uncharacterized. The transcript is spliced from 2 exons. The record is from RefSeq and is a predicted model, not a curated record. NCBI's taxonomy places the organism in Eukaryota, Metazoa, Arthropoda, Insecta, Hymenoptera, Formicidae.
CCCAUACAGCACAGAUCAUUGCAAUUAUAUUGCAGCAACAUUGCAAUGUUGCAAAUUGCAAUGCAACAUUACAAAGACAUUGCAGAAAUAUAGAGCCACAAAGUACCAGCACACUUGUAGCAACAUGACAUUAAUAUUUCGGAAAUAUUGCAAAAUUCAAUUUUUAUAUAAUUUUAAUAAUAAAAUAUUAUAAUAAAAUAAUUUUUUGCAAUAUUUCUACAUGAAAGAUGUUAACGAUAAACAAUACUAAAUGGUUCAUUUUAUUAAAACAUUUUUCUUAAAUUGGCUUAUAUUGCUGCACUGUAUGCUUUGCGCAGCACAUGUACGCGUUCGCAAUUGUGUGCGUGUGUAGUAGGCGCCGGUCUUGCUGCACAUAUCUGUGAUUGUCGUGUAUUUCGUGAUUCACAUUUUUUAUUGUUGCGUACGAGAAAAGACAUUUAACAAAGGAAAACAAUAAUGGACAAAAUUCAAUAAAUUAUUAGUGGUAAUAAAAGCGGCUCGUAAAGCUGAACCAUUUUUAUAUAUUUCUCUAAUAUAAAAAAAAUAUAUUUUUAUUUCGUGAACAUGUUAAGUGCAAUAAUAUGUUAUGUGCAAUGUUAUGUUAUUUAUAACGUUAACAUAAGUACAAAUCAAGACAUUUAAUUACAAUGUAUCGUCAAUAAUUACAUAUUUAUAUACCC